Molecule: ribosomal RNA, 232 nt
Filed under: uncultured bacterium
Lineage: Bacteria
Description: partial 16S ribosomal RNA
Rfam family: Bacterial small subunit ribosomal RNA
Source: RNAcentral
CAGACGGGUGAGUAACGCGUGGGAAUCUACCUUGUAGUGAGGAAUAACCAUUGGAAACGGUGGCUAAUACCGCAUACGCUCUACGGAGGAAAGCGGGGGAUCUUCGGACCUCGUGCUACUAGAUGGGCCUAUAUUGGAUUAGCUAGUUGGUAAGGUAAAGGCUUACCAAGGCGACGAUCCAUAGCUGGUUUGAGAGAAUGAUCAGCCACACUGGGACUGAGACACGGCCCAG